CUUAUGCAUGCAGUCGAGCGAUGAGGCCUCUUCGGGGGGUCAUCAGCGGCAGACGGGUGAGUAACACGUAGGUGAUCUACCCCAGAGACGGUGAUAACGGGUGGAAACAUCCGCUAAUACCGGAUAGACUUGGUCGGUCAAAGGGACAAGGAAAGGCUCCGGCGCUCUGGGAGGAGCCUGCGGCCCAUCAGCUAGUUGGCGGGGUAACGGCCCACCAAGGCAAAGACGGGUAGGGGGUGUGAGAGCAUGGCCCCCCACAAUGGGACUGGAACACGGCCCAUACUCCUACGGGAGGCAGCAGCAGGGAAUAUUGCACAAUGGACGGAAGUCUGAUGCAGCGACGCCGCGUGGAUGAAGAAGGCCCUCGGGUUGUAAAAUCCUUUACAGGGGGAAGAGGAAGGACGGUACCCCUGGAACAAGUGUCGGCUAACUACGUGCCAGCAGGCGCGGUAAGACGUAGGACACAAGCGUUAUCCGGAUUUACUGGGCGUAAAGCGUCUGCAGGCGGACAGGUAAGUUGGGCGUGAAAGCUCCGGGCCCAACCCGGAGAGGUCGUUCAAUACUGCGUGUCUAGAGGGUGUCAGAGGGGAGUGGAAUUCCCGGAGUAGCGGUAAAAU
RNAcentral lists this ribosomal RNA (617 nucleotides) under uncultured organism. Its description in RNAcentral is "bacterial SSU rRNA". It matches the Rfam family "Bacterial small subunit ribosomal RNA", at positions 48 to 687 of the family's 1533-position model. The record is from RNAcentral.